Long non-coding RNA from Amyelois transitella, 402 nucleotides. RefSeq lists it as uncharacterized. NCBI's taxonomy places the organism in Eukaryota, Metazoa, Arthropoda, Insecta, Lepidoptera, Pyralidae. The transcript is spliced from 3 exons. The record is from RefSeq and is a predicted model, not a curated record.
CUGGCGAUAAAGCGGGAUAACGAACGCGUCUAUUUGCGAACGAGUCGCGCCUGAGCAAACAGCGCUCAACUCUUCAAGACUACAAAGUAUGUAUACGGAGGAGCAAAGCCAAUGGAGUAAGUGCCCAUAAAGGUAAGCUAGCUAUGUCGCCAGGCACGCCAUCUGUCGCACUGGCGGGUACUCAUCGCGGCCGACAUGUGCGGGGCGGGCAGCGCCGCGCUGCGUGGGAACAGGAAACUACAGGAGCUAGACGUAACAAAGUAGAAAACACUCCAUUAUCUGCGGACGAGUUGGCCGGCGUCCAGGACGUCUGACGAACACGUCAGUUUUACGAGGGAACUGAUGAAUGCAGGAGAGGGAAUCACCAGGAGAUUAGCGUACUUUAAUGUGACUGACAAAAAG